GACGAACGCUGGCGGCGUGCUUAACACAUGCAAGUCGAACGGAAAGGCCUCUUUCGGGGGGUACUCGAGUGGCGAACGGGUGAGUAACACGUGAGUAACCUGCCCUUGACUUUGGGAUAACUUCAGGAAACUGGGGCUAAUACCGGAUAGGAGCUCCUGCUGCCUGGUGGGGGUUGGAAAGUUUCGGCGGUUGGGGAUGGACUCGCGGCUUAUCAGCUUGUUGGUGGGGUAGUGGCUUACCAAGGCUUUGACGGGUAGCCGGCCUGAGAGGGUGACCGGCCACAUUGGGACUGAGAUACGGCCCAGACUCCUACGGGUGGCAGCAGUGGGGAAUAUUGCACAAGGGGUGGAAGCCUGAUGCAGCAACGCCGUGUGCUGGAUGACGGCCUUCGGGUUGUAAACCGCUUUCGCUCAUGACGAAGCUUUGUGUGACGGUAGUGAGUAAAGAAGCACCGGCUAACUACGUG
This 467-nucleotide ribosomal RNA is filed under the name uncultured bacterium. RNAcentral's name for it is "partial 16S ribosomal RNA". It matches the Rfam family "Bacterial small subunit ribosomal RNA", at positions 28 to 507 of the family's 1533-position model. The record is from RNAcentral.